Molecule: ribosomal RNA, 347 nt
Filed under: uncultured eukaryote
Lineage: Eukaryota
Description: SSU rRNA
Rfam family: Eukaryotic small subunit ribosomal RNA
Source: RNAcentral
AUAGCGUAUAUUAAAGUUGUUGCAGUUAAAAAGCUCGUAGUUGAAUUUCGGGGUUAGUAGGUUGGUCAUGCCUCUGGUAUGUACUGGUCUCACUGAUUCCUCCUUCCUGAUGAACCUUAAUGCCAUUAAUUUGGUGUUUUGGGGAAUUUGGACUGUUACUUUGAAAAAAUUAGAGUGUUUAAAGCAAGCUAACGCUUGAAUACAUUAGCAUGGAAUAAUGAAAUAGGACGUUCGAUCCUAUUUUGUUGGUUUCUAGGAUUGACGUAAUGAUUAAUAGGGAUAGUUGGGGGCAUUGGUAUUGAGUCGCUAGAGGUGAAAUUCUUGGAUUGACUCAAGACCAACUAUUG